GCUAGCAUUUCCUGAAAGAGAAAUCUCUAGUUGCCAUGGAAUAGUGAUUUCCAUAAUACGUAAUAUGAAAAUAGCAACUCUCAAAUUUGUGGAGAUUUGCAUAUUAAAAGCUUAAAUCCUUUUAACUGACUGCUGUAAAAUCUAGUUUGGAGGCGGGAGAGAAAGAAAAAAUCAAGUACUUCUCAGUUUUUACCUUCAAAGGUUCCACCCAUUUAUAAUCAGUUUCAUCCACGGGCAGGAAAAUUGGCUUCUUGGUAGGAAGUGGUCGGCGGCAUAAGAAGAUGGCUGCACCAAAAGAGGACUUUUUCACUGCUACCAAAUUCAGGCUAGCCUUCUUAAAUAAGUCCUCCCAUUCUACCUGCCAAGCCAAGAAAAAUUAGAAUUAUAGUAAAAUGUGACCCAGUCAUGUGAUUCUUGAAGAACAAUUUUUCUCAUUUGUUGCUUAAUAAACAAACGUUAGGACAC
This is a long non-coding RNA of Candoia aspera, 465 nucleotides long. RefSeq lists it as uncharacterized. The transcript is spliced from 2 exons. NCBI's taxonomy places the organism in Eukaryota, Metazoa, Chordata, Lepidosauria, Squamata, Candoiidae. The record is from RefSeq and is a predicted model, not a curated record.